This 254-nucleotide ribosomal RNA is filed under the name uncultured bacterium. RNAcentral describes it as "partial 16S ribosomal RNA". It matches the Rfam family "Bacterial small subunit ribosomal RNA", at positions 524 to 775 of the family's 1533-position model. The record is from RNAcentral.
GACGAACCGUGCGAACGUUAUUCGGAAUCACUGGGCUUAAAGGGCGCGUAGGCGGGCAUUCAAGUCAGGGGUGAAAUCGUUCGGCUCAACCGGACCAGGGCCCCUGAUACUGGAUGCCUCGAGGGAGGUAGGGGUCGAUGGAACUAAUGGUGGAGCGGUGAAAUGCGUAGAUAUCAUUAGGAAGCGCCGGUGGGCGAAAGCGAUCGACUGGACCUCUUCUGACGCUGAGGCGCGAAAGCCAGGGGAGCGAACGG